UAGUGGUGGUGUUGUUUUCAAGUUCAGAGGCAGCACCAGCGCCAAAAUGUGAUAACCCCCUGGAGUAUAGCUCAUGCUUGAACGCGUAUAAGAAGCCACCUCCAUCAGCCGGUUGUUGCCAGAAGAUGAAGGAACAAGCACCAUGCUAUUGCGAGUACAUGAAGAUAGAAGAUGUCAAACGUGUUUUUGACAGAGUUGAGAUUGCGAAAAUGGCUAAAUUGUGUGGAGUUUCAUAUUCUUCCACCUGUUAGAAUCACGUUUGGUUUCAUAUGACUAUCUCUGGCUGGGAUAAUGUGGCAUCUCAAUAAAUAAAAAUUUUAUUUGAAAACUAAUUUACUCAUAAUUUCAACUAUAAUUUACCUAUGUUCUUUUUUUUUUUGGAAUGAUACUGGUGAUUUUCUAUUAUUUACCUUUAUUGUCUUGAUUCAUGUUACAUAUGUGCUAAAAGAACUACACAAUGAUCUAGAUUUUGUUUGAACCGUACUGGAUUGGUUGGAUUGGAAACUGGUUUUGAUACUAGUAUAAUUACAGGGGUUAGAUUGGUUGACCCACGAACCAAUAGAGACUAGUUGAAUCGAUUUUCUCUAUUUCUUAAAAAUUAUUUUUAUAUUUAUUUGAAUUUUUAAAUAAUUUAUUUAAUAAAACUGGACGAAUUGGUCGAAAUGAAAAAUAGUUAUUUAACUGAUUCGACCAUCAGUCCAGUUCUGAAAACAUUGUUAUAGUUAAAAAAAGAAAAAGAAAUGGGUAGGGUAGAUCAAAUUAUUAAAUUAUAAACAUAUAUGUUAUUCGAAUAUUUAUUUGGGUAAAGCACACUUGUAGUCACUCAACUAUUAGUAAAUUUCUCUUUUAUGCUCUGAAUUAUGAAAAUUUACAAAAUGAUCACUCAAUUAUUCAAUUUUCUCUUUUUUGAUCUCUUGUUAGCUAGACUUGUUAAUUGGCCGGGUUACCUUACCAGGCAUGUAACAACCCAUUUUUCAGUGGUGUCAGAAACAAUGGUUUCGGGACCACAAAUUCGAUGAGUAAGUCUAUAUAUUUAUUAUUUAAUAUUUAUGAGUCAGUUUCAAUAUUAUAUUGAAUUUGUGAUUAAUAAUUUUUAUAAAUUGAACGAAUAGAUAAGUAAAAGUGGUUUAAUCCAAAGUCAAGUGGUUAUUGAAAAUGAGACGUUGGGACCUCAUUUCCGUAAUUUAAGGUCGUAAAUAUUUUUAUUAAAUAUUUAUGGACUCUUAUUAUAGGUGAAUUUAAGUUUGGUUCGGUAAUUUUGACGAUUGAUUUCUUAAUUAAGGAAAGAGAAUUAAAUUGUAAAAAAGGUAAAAAUUACCCAUUAUAGAUUUUAAAUUACCAAAGGGAUUAACAUGGAAAUUAGACCAUUGCCAAAAGUCCAAGCGGUGGUGGAUGGUAAUCAUUCCACUAACCUUUGGGAUAUUUGUUCAUUAGGUCCUAAUUAGGUUAAGGUUAAGUUGAAAUAAAGUUGUUUGAUUUGAUUUAAUAUAAUUGAAGGACCAAUUGUGCAAUUGGACUUUUCUUAAAUGGCCAAACGGUAGGAAGGAUAUGAAAUUCUCUAGUUUUGUGAUUAAUUGCUAUUAGAUCCUUAUUAUUUAGUAAUGAAUUAAAAAGGACUAAAUCAUAAAGAAUGAAAAAGUUAAGUUUUAUUAAUUGGAAAUGUAAAUUAGAUGGACCUAGACGGUAAUUAUGUCAUAUAUAUUUGAUGGAAAAUUAUGAACAUGUGUUAGAGAUAUUAUAAGUAUAAUUUAAAGGUUAAUUUUGUAAAUAAGUAAAUAGGUUAAUGAAAAAUAAAAGAUAACUAAAUUUAAAAAGCUAUCAUCUUUUUAUCCAUUCAAGAAAACUGAAAACACCAUUUUUAGAGGAGAAACAAGUUCGUCCAACUAGGGUUCUUCCAUUUAAGAGCUAAACCUUGCUCAUUGUUAGUAUUUUUUUAUGUUUUUAAGUUUAUUUUAGCUUGAUCUAGCUAACUUAAGGUCUAAUUUGUAAAAUUGUUAAACGUUGUAGAUUAUGCCAUUGAUGAUUUAGUGUGUUCUUGAAGUUUAAUGGUAUAUUAUUAACCUUGGUUGUUAAAUAAGACUAUUUUGUAAAGUAUUUUUUUUUGUAAUUUUAAUGUUAAAGGACCAAAAUGUUAAAGUGAUAAAAUUACAAGGACUUGACGUGAAAUAAUAGCAAGUUUGAGUUUUAAUGUAAUAGAAUGCGAUUCGGUUUGAUUUGGAUUUGGUUAAAAUUGGUUAAAUAGCAAGUUUGGAGCUUAGAGACUAAAUUAUAUAAAAGUAAAAUAUUGGAGGUAAUUUUGUGAAAAUGUCAAAAAUGACUUAGUUGCAUAUAAUAGUUAAUUAUGUUGCUAGAAAUUGAUAAUUGAAUGAAAUUAUUAUUUAGAUUGUGAAUGAAUUGAAAAUCGAAGAAAAGAGAAAGUUGCUGAAUAGUCCUUGAACUUUUGUCAUUUCUGCAGUUUAGCUCUGGUAAGUUCAUUUAAUAUGAAAUAAAUUAUAUUUCUAAUUGUUUAUGAAUGUUAGAGCUUAAAUGAUAUAAAAUUACUAAUAUUUAAAUUGAUUUAUUUAUAGAACUGAAACUGUAAAAAGUUACGAAAAUGGUAUUUUUUUAUAUCAAUGGAGACAAGCUAUAUUCGUAUGUAAGACCAUAACAAGGCUAUGAAAAUUAUAAACGUAAGACCAUAGUGAGAGCACAAUAUGAAACGUGUAUUGGGGUUUCAAUCGUCUUUACAAUAUUCAUCAUAUGGAAAUAAAUGAGGAUCUAAAUGUGACUUGAUGUGUGAAACGAUAAGUGGUUUGUAAUAGUUAUACGUGUAAAGGUAGUAAAUGUUGUAUUAUCAUUAUAUGUUAAAGCGAUUAUGCAUUGUGAUAGUAAGAAAUGCGAAUGUUGUUGAAAUGUGGAAAUUUGAUUUGAACUAAUGUUUGAGCAUUACUCACUUGCUGUAAGCUGUGAUUGACAAGAAUUCUGAUAAUAACCUUGUUGACAGUAACUCUAUUCAUUUAUCUUGUUAUUUGAAUUAUUUUGUUUAAUUUAGUAAGUUUUAUUGUUUAAUUGACGAACUUACUAAGCUUUAUGUAAGCUUAAUCGUUUCCUUGUCUUUUUCUUUGUAGAUUAUAUUUUAUGGAAAUCGGGAGAUCGAAUCAACUCAAAGAAUCACACUACCUGAAGACCUUUUUGGUAGAUUUUGAAUUCAAUUUGGCUUAUAUGGCAUGUAAUAGGAAAAUUUUAUUAUGUUUUGUAAUGGCUCCUAACUACUUAUAUUGUACAGUUGUUGUGUAUGUAAGGUUGUGGCUUGAAUAACUUUGUUAGACAUGCAUGCUUAAUUCUAAACUUAAGCAUAAUGGAUAAACAUGGAAUGAUAAGUUGGCAUGAAUUAGAUAUGGUAAGUUGGGACUGAAUUUGAGUGUGUUUGUGGUUUGUGUAUAUUUGCUAAGGUAAUGAGAUCAUAGGGUUGGACUUGUGGUGUCUUUGUUGACACAUUAGGUUAGGUCUUGGCUGAAUGAUUUAGCAUGUUUUGGAUGUUCUCAAAUGUGUUUUGAAGUCUUGUGAUCAUGUGUUAUAAAAUGGUUUAGGUACCUAAGCAUUUAGAUGUGAAAAGUGCAUGUUUUGGGUCAUUUUUGGGCACACACGGCCCGAGACACAGGUUGUCACAUGAUCCUGUAUCACACAUGGGCAACCUACACAGGUGUAUGCUCCGAGUGUGUUAGGUGCAGGGUUCACACGGGCUGGCACACGGAGGAGUCACUGACAUGUGAGCCAAGUUAGUGAGUUACACAAGUGGAUACACAUGUGAGCACAUGGACGUAUGGAGUAGCCACACAAGCGUGUGGGAUAGCCACAUAGCCAUGUCUAGAGGCACACGAUUUAGAUUCUGUCACACGUCUUAGACACACGACCGUGUGACCCUUGUUUGAAAAUUUUUCAAUUUUUCUCUGAACUUCUUGAUUUGAUUUGAAUUGGUCCCUAAUUGUUCCUAAUAUAUUUUUAAAGCCUCUUAGGCUCGAUUUAAGCUCCAUAAAUAUAUGUUUAUUUCAUUCUGAAUUAUAUAUGUAUUUUCAAAAUUGAUAUGAUUAUUAGAUGUUAAUUGUUAUGAGAUGUUCCGAAUUGUACGAUAAUACUCUGUAACCCUAUUCUGAUGAUGAAAACGGUUUAUGGGUAUUAUAUUAAGUGGUAUUAGAACCACAAUUUAGUCGAUUCUUAGAAUGAACGUAGCGUGUUCGAAGUCUAGAAAUUACAUGCCAUAUAAACUAGUGAUAGUGUGAUAUGGAUUGAUCCGAUCUAACACCUAUUUUAUUGUAGAUUAUAAAGAUGUCAUCUGAAUCUGAUCGUGACGAAACUAAUGAAGUUAAUAGUAACAUUUCGACUUUUGAUUCUGGUGCAAGUCAUAGUAUACAGGUUCCACAAAUGCCUGAAAAUGAGGUUAAGAAUAUUUUCUUAUAGAUCUAAUGAAUGUUAAUAGAAUCUGACCAUACUGAACUUGAUGAGGUAAAUGGUAAUAUUCCAACUUAUAAAUAAGAGGUAAUGUAAUGACCCAAAAUCCACAUGCACCGGAAAAGUGAGUUAUAGGGCCCCCGUCUUAGUGAAAUAAGUUCGAAAUAAUUAUAAAAAUAUUUAUGAGCCUAGUGAUGUGUCUAAUUAGGAUUUAAUUAGGUGAAAUUAACUUAAUUUAGAAUAAUUAGCAAAAAGAACUAAAUUGAAAAAGGGGUAAAAGUUUAAUUCUAAAGUAAUAGAAAAUAAAAAGGAUCAAAAUGGCAAUUAAGCCAUUUACAUAAAUUGAGGCGGCAAAUGGAAGAAAAAUCAAGAUUUUUCUUGAAUAUAUGUAUUAUAUAUUUAUAAUAUUAAAAUUAUUAUUAUUAUGGUUUUAUAAUUAUUAUGAUUAUUUAAUGAAUAUUAUAUUUUAAAUAAAUUAAAUAGUUGAUAAAUAUAUGGUAAUAAAAUUUACAUGUGUAAAAAUUAUUUUGGUACAUUUGUAAUUUAAAUACUAAAUUACUUAUAAUUUAAGUAAAAAGAUAUUUGUUAACUAAAUAAUUAAAAUUUUAAAUUAUGAGAUUUUUGUUUGAGAAACAAAUUAAAUAAUGACAAAUGUAAUAAAAUUAUUGGUACAAAUGUAGAAUUAAAUAUGUGUACAAUUGUAAAAUAUGUAAAUGAUGUUAAAAUAGAUAUUUAAAAUAAAUAUAUUAUAAUAUAUGCUAAUUAAAUAAGUAAAGCAAAUAAAUAUAAAAGAGAAAUAAAGAAACAAAAGGGAAUAGAAAUAGAAUUGAAAACGGGAAGCAGGGGAGAAAAAGAGAAAGAAAAAGGGCAAGAAAAAUAAAAGAGAAAACUAAGGAUUUGAAGCUUGGAGUUAAUUUGGAAAGUCAAUUAAGUCCUUUUUAGUUAAUCUUGAUGUUUUAGAAGCUUUGAAACAAGAUUUUGAUGAAAUUAAGUUGAUAGUUCAAGAGUUCAUAUGUUUCCAAAUAUGGUUCAUGUUGGACAAAUUAUGGAAUUAGGGAUUUAAUUGAAUGAAUUCUAAGUUAGAAUUGAUUAAGGGAUUAAAUUGUAAACUAGGCUAUAAGUUUUAUGUUGUAGGGACUAAAUUGAAUAAAUUUCGAAAUUAGGGAAAUAUGCAGGAAAUUUUAUAGUUAAAUAUAAGUUUAGACUAAAUUUAAAUAGAAAAAGAGAGUGAAUUGGAUUAAGAAAAUAAUUAAGUUUAGUUAGGAUUAAAUUGGGAAUAAGGUAGGAAUUGUUUAGAAAUUUAAUUAUUUAUUAUAAUUAAUGCUGUAAAUAAUAAUGUAAAUUACUAUUAUUUUCGUAGCCAACAAAGAACCUGAAGCAUCAGCAUCAAAAGGAAAGGAGAAAGUCAUCGAGGACUAAAACGGGAGAAUUACGGUGUGUAUUACUAUAAUUCGAAUUUUAAUUAUUAUUGAUUGCUGAAUUUUUAAUUGUUAUGUAUGGUAAGUAAGACUUGAGGUAAGUAAGUGAAAUUGAUAUGAAUAUUGAGUGAAAAUGAAAGUGAUGCAUAUUGAAUUAAAUUGAAUAGAAUAAGUGAAUUAUGGAAUAUGUGAUUAUUUGAAAAGUGUAUUGAUUGAAAAAUGAAUGGUGAUUUGAAUUGUGAAUUGAAAGUGAUAGAAUUGAGAAAGUGAAUUGAAUACCCUAUUAACUAGUCGGGCUGAGUCGGAUAUAGUUGGCAUGCCAUAGGAUUAGAAGUGUUCAGGGAUGCUUCGACCUCAAGUCGAUGAGACACUGGGUGUCACUAAAUUUCUUCGGAUAGAUUCGAUGAGGUACUGGGUACCAACUUUACUUCGGCUAGGCUGAUGAGACACUGGGUGUCAACUAUUACUUCGAACUAUCCGAUGAGGCACUGGGUGCCAUAUUGGUGUGUUUGAUUGGAUCCAUGUAUCCGCCAAAGUCCGAGUUACGUUAAUAGGGUGAAAAAUUGAAAUGUGAAUUUAAGGCAUUGAAAAAAAAAAGGAAAUUGAAUUAUGAAUAGAAAUUGGAAUUGUGAUAGAAAGAGAAAAGUAUGAGCUAAAUGUUCGUAAGUGGUUUAAAUUCAAGUUUGUGAAAAAUACAUUAAUUGACGAAUAAUUAAAUUGAAUUGUUAUUAUGAAAUGAUGAAAAUAAAAAUAAAAAUAAAGUAUGAAUUAGUAUUUAAGAAAUUAAUUGUUAUGUAUUUUAAUAUUUAUAUUUUUAUUAUUGAUGAUAUAUUUUGAAUUAUGGUAAUACCACUGAGUAUAUCCAUACUCAGCGUAAGGUUGUUUCUGUGCGCAGGUUAGUAGAAGUCAAGUGUCCCGGCUCAGCAUCCAGAACUAUCCCGACUCCAACACAAAUUUGGUGAUGUAUAUUUUUCUUUUGGGUAAAGGUGGCAUGUACGUAGGUGUUGUUUAGUCACUUGAAUAUGUAUAUUACUUUGGGUAGUGAAGGAUGAAUUAUAAGAUUUAGAUGGUUAAAUGAAUGAAGUAUUUAAUCAAUUUAGAAUGAUGCUAUGAUAGUUAUUAAGUUAAAAAUUAUGUUAAUGAUAUAAAUAUUAGUUAUAUGAAUGUGAAACAUUGGUGUUGGUUGUUUUGGUUUGAAUUUGCAGGGGUUUUAGGUAAAAAUAAGCAGAAAUGCUGCCGAAUUUUUUUUUAUAAAAAAAAAAUUCCCGGAAUACUCGAACAAGUCCCGUUCUACUUUUAAUACGUGUUUGAACUUCGAGAGUCCAAUAUAGGGACUUAAUUAUUAUAUUAUACUAUGAAAGUUAUAUUAAUUGUAAAUUAUUCGUAAGUUGUCUAAUAUGUCCGGUAAUGCCUCAUAACCUCGUUCCGGCGACGGUUUGGGGUUAGGGGGUGUUACAGGUAAAUUAUAGUUUAUCGGUUUUGUAAAUGUCAGAUAGUGAAGUCAAAAUGUCAUUUCAACUUAAUGAGUCAGUAGUUCACAGAAAUAGCUUGAGCCAAUUCAGAGGCUCUACAAUUUCUACCUCUUUUCGAGCAUCCCGUGGUAACUUUGAGUCUUCAACUGACUAAAAUAGUUCGAAGACUCUUGUGUAAAUAAUUAAAUAGUAUAGUGAUGAAGACUUCAAAAGUAAAAUAGAUGAAGAUUCUAUUAACCAACAAAUUGGAGAGAUUAAUUAAAACUGAAAUUAACUAAAUUAAUUAACUAAAGAACACGACAAAGAAUGAAUUAGGAAAACAAAUGAUUAACAACCAACAAAGAAAAUAAUACCCAGGAAAGAAUCCUCCUAGAUUUCAUCUGUCAUUAUCAAUCUGAAUUAAACAAUUUCUUCACUUUCUAUCUUGAUCUGUAGAAAUCCCUAAAUUAUGUUAAUAUCUCUUUCGAGAGUAAGAGCAACUGACUUUAGGUUAAUUAAUUGAAAUUUAUUUCCAAUUAAAACCCAUAUUAUCACAUUAACUCGAUCUAUUGAUCCCCCUAUUAGAUUUAACUCUAAUGUGGUAGAUUUAUGUCAUCCUAUUUCUAGGAUUGCAUGCAAUUCCACUCAAUAAUGCUAGAUCUACUCUUAAACAGAAACUUUUUCUCCUCUGAUUUAGAAAUAUCAAACCAAUAAUUAAGCACAAAUAAUUGAGAACAAGAUCUAAGUAUUUAUUGUGUAGAAUAGAAGUCAAACAACAUAAUUCAUCAUAUGGUUUAUUUCCCCUAGGUAUUUAGAAAAUUAGUUCAUAAUCACAAAUAAAAGCAUCCAGAAGACAGUAUAACCACAAGAAAUAAGAAAACCCAUAAUAAACUUCAAAGGAAUCAAGAGGAGAUCUUCAAUAUUGAUGGAAAUUUGCUUUAGAGUCGGCUUCAAUGGUGUUUUUUAAGUUGUUUUCUUGAGUAUUCUAUGAUGGCUCACUCCCUUCUUUUUAUAUUAGGUAUAUAUAGGUUUUAAAAUACCCGAAAAACCUAAAAUUAAGUUUUUUUUUGCAUUUCUAGAGUGCAUUUUGCAAUUUCCACACCGUUUGGCACACGACCAUAUGGCUCACACAGCCGUGUGUCCAGUUCGUAUGGAAUGGCUCAGCCAUUGUGGCUUCUGAAACUUGCUCUUAUUUUUUGAUUUUCUCUCGUUGUUUAGUCAUUUUGCUCCCAAAUACUCUCCUAAGUAUAGAAACAUGAAUUUAAAGGAUUAUGAGCAUAAAAUUCACCAUUUUAAAUAGAAUAAUCAUCCAAAAACGCAUUAAGAAUGAGGCAAAAACAUGUUACUUUUGGCAUUUGUCAAAUAUCCCCACAUUUAAGCAUUUGCUUGUCCUCAAGCAAAAUCCUCAACCCACAUUCAAAUUAACUGUUCUCAAGUUGUCAUUUUCAUCAAUAAUGUUUCAAGAUAAUUCGCAAACAAUCAUGCAUUGGAAAUUCAACCAAAAGGACACUAAAGAUUCAAGCAGUCCAAACCAUAACCAUAAAGUUAUCUCGCCUUAUCUAAAUAAUUAUCUUAAGGUUCAAAUAUUGUGCACUCAAUAUUCGAAAGAGAAAUGCCAUUACCAUAAAAUUGCUUAAAAAUCAAAUCUCCACCACUAUAGAAUGAGAUGACACACCAAUCAAUAGGUCUUUUCAAGGUUGUAAUGGGGCUUAGGUUAAGGGUAUGGAAAAGGUCAGAAAAGUCGGUUAUAAUCAAGAUCGAGUUAAUAAAUUAUCAAACUAGAAAAACAAUCAAUUGCUAAAUUAAAAGAACUUACAUCAAAAAGAAUAAGCACAAAUGGAAACGAGCUUUUCGACAGAAUAUGAAACUAAUUAUUCAAGCUAAAUAUAAAAUUUAUGUUUUUUCUUUUCGAUUUUUUUGAGAAAUAAGAAAUAAAAUUCAACAAUUUAAAAAAAAAUGAAAUAUUGUUCUCGACAAAAAGGGAGUCAAUAAAAAGAAUACAUUUACAACAUAGAUUUGGGUUAAGGGUUAACAUUAAUAGGUUAAUAAAAAAAAAUUUAGGAUCAAUGAGGUUUACUAGGGGUUAACACAACAAUUAAGGUGGUUAAAUGAGUUAAAUCCUAAGUAUCUCUAUCAUCUCAAUAUAUUAAAUCAAUAAUAUGGUCUAAACAUGUAUAAUAUAAGAAAGUUCUAGAAUAACAAAUGAAGUUGACAUACUUUCAACCAAAAAUAAAAUGAGCACGAAUAAAUAUAAGCUCUAUAGGCUCAAAGGCUCACAAAAAAUUAAGGUUUUGAUGUCAAACUUGCAAUUUCAGAGUUUCAAGACAAUAAUUCAAUUCAAGAAAGCAACCUAAAAUAUUUAUUUAUGAAAAAUUAACUUAUCAUGCUUGACUCUCUCGUGCCUUAAAGUAUAAAUCACACAAUGCAUAUAAAUCCACAAAUUAAUCCAAAACAACAUCAAUAAAAAUUUCAAAUAAAACAAUUCACUCUAACAGACAACCUUCUCAGACUUAAGAUGUAUAUUAUCCUUCAUGUACAAAUAGAUAUAAGCACAGAAUAAGACAAUAUCAAAAGAGAGGGAGAACUAAAACUAGCCUGAAUAUGGAUGAAUUUGCCAUAAUAGUGAAAAGCAGAAUCGUAAGCGAGUCUAAAUGCGGUGCAUGUUUCCAAGUAAACUAAUAAGAAAAUUAACAAAAAUAAAUAAGAAGGUAAAGAGAUUACAAACUUGAACAAAACAACCAUCAAAAUAAUAAAAAUAACAGCAUAGUUCAAAAUAUAAAUAAAAUAAAUUAGUCUCACAAAAAAUACAACAAUUAAAAAUAAAAGUACAAUUGAAAAUAAAAUAAAUAAAGCAAAAAAAAUGAAAAAAAAUUAGUGAUCAUCAUCGUGAGAGGCAUCAGGAUCACACGAAACAUAAGCAGAAUGGGAGAUAUGCAGGUGUUGGUGAAUCAAUGUAAAGCCGCGUCAAUGUUGUCGAACCAUGCUGACUGUUACUUGACAUGCUCAUAAUGUAACCGUUCGAGGCGAUUUAGCUGAUGUGAAAUAUUGCCAAGUGUGACUGAAUGUGCAGGUGCAAUAGUAGAAGGGCUCGGAGGAUUGGGAAUGGGUCGCAAUGCUGGGGGGAGAUCAUCAUCAAGGUGCUUAUUAUCCUCGUGCUAUUAAGUUGCUCGUAACAACACAUACUGAUCACCGAAAGGCCCAGGCUGAUGAGCAAUCAUCCUCAUAUGUUUCAUAAUAUUUAAACCUUGUGGUGUCAUGUCCCCAACCAAAGUAAGAGUACCAAUCUGCUUGGGAGUCUCGAGGAGACCAAAGUGACAAGUCAAGAGUGUGAUAUCUAGACCCAUACAAAGAGGUCCUCUCCGUGACCGCUCACUCUGAUUAUGAAAACACUGGGCUACAAAGUGGGCUAGAUCAAUCAGAUGUUGUCCGUGCAUACUCUAUAAGAAAUAUGCAUUUAAAAUGCCCACGAUGCUUUUAACGGCCUGUUUUCAGUGGUGUUGAAAAUAGUGGUUUUGUGUCCAUAAUUCUGAUUAGUGAAUUAUUAAUUUAUUAUUUAUUUAAUGUCUAUGGGAUUAUAUUAAGGUCUUAUUAAUUUUUUUUAAGAAAUUUUGAUGUUUAAAUGGUUAAUUAGGUGAAAAUGAUUAAAUCGUGAAAAGUGUAAAAGUUGAGUUGUAUUAGUUAAAGUGGUCUAAUGGCUAUGAAAUCAUAAACUAAAGGACUUGAUUGGUAAAUAUACCGUUUAAAGUGUUAGUGGAUGUGCAUGGACAAGGUUUUAAUGAAAUUUUGAUAGUUUUUAAAGGUUAAAAUGGCAAUUGAAUAAUUAACUUUAAAACAAAAGAAACUAAAAAUGGUAUCAUCAUCAUCCUUGGCUAUCUCCACCAAAAUUUGAAGAGGAAAACACCAUUAGAAUAGGGUUGAGCAUUCGAUCAAGUUUCUACUUGUAUGUAAGUGAAUUCAAGCUCCUUUUUUUUAAUGAUUUUUAUGUUUUCGAGUUCAUUUUAGCUUAAUCUAGCUAGCCCGGAGGUUAAUUUGCAAAACCGUUAAAGGUUGAAGGACUUUUCAUGGAUAUUUUUUAAUGUGUUUUGACGUUUUUUGAUGUAUUAUUUAUCUUUUGUAACACCCCUUACCCGUAUCCGUCGCCGGAACAGGGUACGAGGUAUUAACAAAUUAUAGUAUAUACUAUUAAAUAAAACCCAACAAAAAUAUGGCGUGCAAUUUGAUCAUGGAUCAUUAUAACAUAUGCCAUUAACAAUACAAACCAACUUCAAAGGCUUCGUACAAAAUGAUUAGUUUGAUACUAUAAGUAGUAAUUUAAACCUAGACAAUUAUGACACGUAACAAAAUAACUAAGUCUGCUAUACAUGCCAUAUUUCAAAAUGUUGAGUUCAGAUACCAAGAGUAUUGAUAGUGCGGGCGGAUCUUCUAUGAUCUCUGAUUCCUGUACUCGCUGGAUGACACUAUAAGACAAAUGAGAGAAAAGAAAGUAAGCUUAUAGCUUAGUAAGUAAGUAAAUAAAUAACAAAUAAGGAAUCUAAUAUGUUUACAACAUAACUCAAUUAUAUCAUAUUUUUAAUCUUACUGUUUACUCCAAUUUGAUCAAGCUGUCCCUCCUGCGUCAUGAUCACUAAAUAAAUCAUAACUUGAGUUACGAAACUCGAAAUCCAAAUCCGUAAAAUUUCCCUGAAUCUAGACUCAUAAAAAUUCUUACAAAUUUUUUUCUAGAAUUUUUGGUUCAGCCAAUUAGUACAGUUUAUUAGUUAAAGUUUCCCCUGUUACACAGCUCAACUGAUCUGACCUCUGUUCAUUACGAAUUGAAUUUCUCUUAGUACACAAUUCAAAUAACCAUGAAACCUGUUUCAUUUAAAAAUAUACUCAAUAAGAAAUUUAUUCAUAUAAACUAUAUUUCUUAAUUUGUUUUGUAUAAUUUUUAAUGAUUUUUCAAAGUUGAAACAGGGGAUCACAUAGUCAUCCUGAACAAGUCUCACACAAUUGUAAAUAUCUCAAAAUAUAGAAUUCCUUUGCUUGCUCUGUUUCUUUUAUAUGAAAAUAGACUCAUUAAGCUUUAAUUUCACAUCUCAUUCAACCUCUAAUUAAAUUCCUUAUAUUUUUGGUGAAUUUUCAAAAUCACGUCACUGCUACUGUCCAAAACAGUUUUAAUGCUAAUUUCACUCUUUCACACAUUCUUUAUACUAACCUCAUUUUAACUUACAUAUAUAUAUAUAUAUACCACAAAUCAUUUUCACCACAUUUCAUGCAUCACAAGUGUAGGUCCAUGACUACAAUGUCACCACAAAACCAUCCCGUUGAACAAUUCGGAUUAAUCCUCGAUACUUGAUGGUUUCAGCACACAGCUCCACCAUCAUAUUUCAUUUAAUUCGACUCUCUUGUACACAUGGUGAACACUUAGUACGACUCAUGCGACCUAGCUGAUUUGUCUCAUAGCUCUCUUGUCUACAUGGUGUCCUUCACUUGGAAUCACGCAUGCGACCUAGCUACAUUUAUCUCUCACGUAGCUCUCUUGUCUACAUGGGAUACAUCCCGUAUCACACAUGUGACCUAGCUACUAUAUAGUAUCUCGUAGCCUUCUUGUACACAUGAUGUGCACUAGGCACCAUACAUGUGACCUAGCUACGCUCCCUCUAUUUUAUUCGAUUUUUCCGAAUGUUCAACCGGGAUCUCUCUCUCUAUUACUUAUUUCCAUUCUUCCAAUAGUCGAUUUAUACUUCAACAUCAGCUAAUAUAUAUAAUAGGCUGAAAUAUAAGAAUGUAAAUGAAAUUAAUGUAUUAUUUACAUACAAACUUACCUCGGUGCAAAAUAUGGGAAUUUUGCAAUUUAGUCCAAAACUUUCUCCUUCCCCCGUUCGAGGUCGAUUCCACGCCUUUCUUGAUCUAUAACAACAUAUUUAGCUCAUUUAACACUUGAACUAUUUAUUUUAAUCCAAAAAUCACAUUAUACAAAAAUUACAUUUUUGCCCCCUAACUUUUACAAAAUUACGAUUUUUCCCCAAGGCUCGGAAAUUUAAUUUCAGCCCUUAUUCUUAUGUUUAAUGACCUACUGAUCAUUUUUCUCUUCUCUGGCAACAUCAAAUUCUCACUCUAACACAUAGUUAUGAACAAUAGGUAUUUUUAUCGAUUAUGCCGUUUUGCUCGUUUUCGUUAAAAAUCGCUUAGAAAAGAUCGUUCUCCUAACUUCAAACAUUCAUAUUCUACCAUCAAACAACAAAAUACAUGCCUUUAAUUCAUGGGUAAAUUUUUAAACAUAAACCCUAACUCAAACUAAUGGUAGAAAUAAGUAAACCGAGCUACGAGGAUUUCAAAAAUGUGAAGAACAUUAAAAACGGGGCUUGAAAUCACUUACUAUGAAGCUUGAAAGUUGAAGAAACCCUAGCUAUGGAGGAGAGCAAUUUUCGGCAGCAACUAAUGAAGAUGAUAACCAAUUUUGUGUUAUUUUUCCCAUUUUAUUUCAUUUAAUAUACAAAUGACCAAAAUACCCUUACUACUAAACUUUCAAAAAAAUUCCCUCCAUGUCCAACUUUUGUCCAUAACUUAAGAAUGGGUCAAAUUUCUAUUUAAGACCUCCUAGUAAAUAUCCCAAAGCAAUUUCAUACUAAAAACUUCUAAAACACGAGUUUUACAAUUUAUUCGAUUUAGUCUCUAAUCUCAACUUAAGCGCGAAAUGCACAGAAUUUCAUCAUGAAACUUUCACGAAAUCAUGAAAUCAUAUCAUAAACCCCAAAAUAAUUAUAAAACAAUUAUUUCUAUCUCAGAUUUGUGGUCACAAAACCACUAUUUCGAUUAGGCCCUAAUUCAGGUUGUCACAUCUUUGUUGUAAAAUAGACAUGUUUUGUUAAGUGAUUUUUGUUGAAUUUUGGAAAUAUGGAUUAAAUUAUUAAAAGUAUAAAUCCGUGGGUUUUGUUGUGAAAUUUUGGUAAUAAUGGGUUGUUUCAAGGUCCUUUUGAACAUUGGUUAAGUUGGCUUUAGGUUAAAAUGGUUAGAUUUUAAGUUAUGAGCUUGAGGACUAAAUUGUAAAAAGUCAAAGUAUUAGGGACAAAUUUGUUAUUUUUUUAUAAAUAUGAAUUAUGGAUUAAAUUUAAUUCUACUUGAUUGAAUGAAAUUAUUUAUUUAGAUCAAGAUAAACCAUAAUCGGACUUAAAUCGUGGAAAAGCUAAAGUUUCGGAUUAGUGUUUGAUUCUACUUUUACGCCCUAGUUAUUAAGGUAAGUUCGCAUGAACUAUGAUCGUUUUAAUGUUAGUUAAAUUGACUAUUUGCUGUGUUGUUUUAAUAUAAAUGAAUCUAUGUAUAAAUGUAUCUAAGCUAUGAUGAAUUAACGGAUAACGAGUCCCAUUUGAACCUUAAGAAUUCUUAGGAUACAAAUGACAUGUCAUUAGGGAUUUCAUGUUUCGGGUGUUGGUCUUAAAUGUCCUACCGAUGGUUGAGGUCCUGCAUUUGUUGCAGAUUCUCCACAGCUCGUGUGAGCAAUAUCAUGUAGCUAACAUUCCGACCCACAACUCAUGUGAGCAGGUGUGAGCAUUAAUGUAAAGGAAAUGUUACUAUUAUAUGGAAAGGCACACUACGAGUGAACAUUCCCGAGUAGCUGAUGUAAUUCUAGAUGGUUCAAUGGGUAAGAAAAGGAAAUGAAAUGGUAAGUAUGCAAAUGGAAUGAAUCUUGAUCUUAUAAUGACAUUGAUGAGUUAAAUGAUAUGUUUAUAUAUGGUAAACUACAUAUCUUAUGGUUGAUUUCAUUUGUAUCAUGAACAAGUGUACUAACUUGUUAGUUUGAUGAUGUUGUAUAGGCUUUUACUAAGCUUAUGGCAUUGGUAAUGAUUUAUGCUUAAUCUAUGAAUUGUAUAAAUAAAAUGGUAAGUUAUGUUAAGUUUUUACAAUCUUACUAAGCACUCAUUGCUUACAUAGUUACUUUCCUUUGUUUUAUAGAUUAUAGGAAGCUCGAUCAGUUGGAAGUUCGUCGAAGACCUAUCACACUAUCCAACAAUCAUUUUAGUAUAUUUUUUUUUGUAUAUUUUGGCCAAGGUUAAUAAUGGCAUGUAUAGGAUCUUUGUAAUGUAAGUUUUGGUAAGUUUAAGCUUUUGCAGUUAUGCUGGUUUGGUGCACUUUUGAUGUCUUACCAAGUUAUGUCAUAUUAGUUACUUUUAAGUGCUUGUAAAUAAGGUUCUUUUGGUAUUUUUUGAUGGCUUGCAAAUGGUCAUAUGUGGUAGUUAAUUAAACUAGGUUAUUAUGGCUGGGAAUAUACAACAUUGACUUAUUUUGGUAAGUGAUAUUUUGCUAUAUUUGUGGUGCCUUUGAAUGGCAUAUUGGGUUAGAUGAAUUAGGGUGUUUGAAAAGGCAUGUUUUUGUGUAUUUGAAUGAAGUUUAAAUUCCUUGAAUGUAUGCCUAAAUGGUCUGAAUGGUUAGGUAUGAAUUGGACUUGAAAUGACUUGAUUUUAGGUUAAAUUUUGGUUUCACAUGGCUUGGGACACAAGCUGUCACAUGGUCGUGUGACACAUAACCUGGUAACAUGGACGUGUGCCAUUUGAAAUUUCUUAGUGAUUCAAGUCAGUGAGUUACACGACCUGACACACAGGUGUGUGUGGCAACUCAGAGAGUUAUACGGCUGUGUAACACUUCUCAGUGAGUUACACGGGUAAGGACACGUGCUGGGACACGGUCGUGUUCCCCUUGUUCGAAUAUUACACGACCUGGCCAUACGACCGUGUGGCCCCUGUUUUCACAUUUUUGCAUCGUUUUCUUAAAACUUCUAUUUUGUUUUGAUUUAGUUCUGAAUUGCUUCUAAGCUAUUUUUAAAGCCUCGAAGGCUAGAUUUAGGGACAAAAUGCAAAUGAAUGAUUGGUUUACAAUAAAUUUAAUUUGUUUUAUGUUAUAAUGUUAAAUGAUUUCUAGUUGAAAGAUAAUGCUCUGUAACCCUAAUCUAGAGGCGGAGACGAGUUAAGGGUGUUACAACGCUUGUACUCUUCUUUCGUCUAGUUAAAAUAUGAACUAGAAUGGCAUGAAUAUAUUACAAUGUUGGAGGGAGGUACUGAGCCUUAGACUGGCUCGGGUUGCACGAAAUGGCAACCUCAGAGAUUUUCGACCAACAUAGAGAGACCGAAUAAUGGAUGUGUUGUGGGAGGGAUGAGAGCUCGGUCACUGCUAAGAAAUCAUUAGAAUAUAGGUUGAGAGUGACACCAAAGCCUGCAUUACUAAAGUGUUGAGCGAUACCCCCAAGACGGAAUGAUAUAGCCCGUGGGUCAUCCCCCAACGAUAGUACAGUUGGUAGGAAGAAUGUGGAGAAAAACUCGAAUGUAAGCUCAACAUAUGUAGACUCGACGAUCGUGAAGAAUCACUCCCAUGGGAUUGCGAUUAAAAGAGAAUGAAUCAGUGCGAAUAAGCUCAUAAUUUGGAAGGUGUCCCAAUCUACACGCCGGCCCAUGCCCAAUGCUCUAUCCUUAAUAUUCUGGUACCUCUCCUCAUGGGGUGGAUGGUCAAAGGUGAGGUAUUUGUAACGAGUGGUUGUGAUCGGAGAGGAUGAAGAUGAGGUCUAAGUGGCUUUUCUUUUCUUAGAAUGAGUGUGGACCCUAUUUUUUCCUUGUAGUUUUUGCAUUUUGUACCUGAAAUAAAAUAUAAUAACCAAAUAUCAGAGAACCAAAAAUCAAAACCACAAAAAAUGAAUCUAGCAAAUAGACAAAUCGACAUAUGAAAUAAAACACAUUGGCAAGAGAACCACCUCACGAUGAAAGUCGAAUCACAACGAGUCUAACCAAAAUCUACUUCGAAUACAAAACUAGAGCUAAUACUAAUACUAUCGAGGCAAAAAUAAAUAAAUUAAACUAACCAACUAAAACUAAUAAUAUUAGAAUAAUAAAAUAAUAAAAUAAUGACAAGAAUACUAAUACUAAACAAAAUAAACAUAUUAAUAAUAAGAGUAAUAAUAAUUAAAAUAAUAAGAAAAUAAAUAAAAACAAAAAUAAUAAAAAAUAAAAUAAAAUAAAAUAAAAUGAAAGAAUAGGGUUGAGCCAAAUGGUGGUAACGGUGGUUGUUGGCGGCGAUGGUGAAUGGAGGCGCAAGUGAGGAUGUGUGAGAGGACUGAUGGAGGUGGUGCGCAGGUGAAAAAGGUUAGAACGGAAGGAAAAAAACAGACGAUAGAGGAAAUGGCAUGAUCGACGGUAGGGGAAGGAAAGGGAAAGGGAAAAGUGCGGGGAAGGAAUGGAAACGACACGAUCGACGGUAGAGGACAUGUGUCCAGCCAAUAUGGAAUGGCCCGGCUUGUGUGGCUCUUAAAGAUUCCUCCAAUUUUUCGAUUUUCGCUCUUUUUUCUUCCAAAUGUUCUCCUAAAUAUAGAAACAUGAAUUUAAAGGAUUAGGGGCAUAAAAUUCACCAUUUUAAAUCGAAUAAUCAUCCAAAAAUGCUUUAAGAAUGAGGCUAAAACAUUUACUUUUGGCAUUUACCAAUAAGAAAUGGGUUGGUUUGAAAAUAAAUGGAUUGCUUGUCGUAGAAUAUUAUUCUCGGCAGAAAUUAAAAUAUAAAAUUUUAAAAAUUAUAUUUAAUACAAUAAAACAUUUAUUAUAUUUAUGGUAGUAUUUUUUAAUGUGGUAUGGAACUCUUAGUUGAUGAAACUUGUUUAGUGGUAGAUUAAAUAGACUAUUAGAUUAUUAAUUCUGAAGCCAUUAGUCAUAUUUGUGUUUAUUGCAGGGGUUCAAGUAAAUGAGAAGCCUUCGUGAGAAGGAUCUCUCAUUGCAACUAGAGAUGCGUGAAGAAAUGUAGCGGCAAAAGUAGUGGGAAAAGUACAUUUGUAUUUUGAUAAUUUUAGGAAAAUCAUUUUAAAAAACAUACUUUAUGUACCUAGUUUUAGGAGAAAUUUAAUUUCUGUUGCAUGUUUAUUUCAAGACAAAUUUUUUGUGACUUUUAAUAAAGGGAUUGCAAUUCAUAAAAAUUAUGUUCUUAUAUGUAAUGGAUGGAUGCAAAAUAAUAUUUAUUUUAUUAAACUAAAGAGCUACUCACUGUUUGAAACCAAACUCGUGAAUAAGAAACUUAAAACUUCUCACUCUAAUACUUAUGAUAUUUACGACUUAGUCACGUUAAACAAGAAAGAAUGUAAUACCCCUAACCCGUAUCCGCUGCCAGAACAGGGUUUCGGAGCAUUACUAUCAUUUACAGAUCACUAAAAAAAUUUAAAUACUUAUCGAUUCAAUGCAUCAUAUAAAUAAAUAUAUUAUCAUUCAAUCAACAGUUUGACACUUGUAUAAGCAUCAAACAGCAACAUUGUUAGUAUACUUGCACAUAUCUCAUAUAAAUUCAACAUUGAUAUAUCUAUUUUCUCGACAUAUCGCACUUGAGUUUAAUAAUAGUCUCAACUUACAUAAUUUCCUUGUAUCAACAUAUCAAAGAUAAUCAUAUAUGUACAUGUCAUGAAACAUAUCAUGCUCUUACCGUUUCUUCAUAAGCAUAUAUCAUUCAUUUCAUUAUAUCAAUAUUUCAUGCUCCAUCAUUUCUAUAUAUUUUAUGUAUAUUUAUUCCGGUAAUAGCUUAUAUCAAACUUAACAUAAAUUAUAUUCCAUGUACUUAUACUUAUUUCGUUUAUCUAUCUUCAUAAUUAUUUCAUAUAACCAUUCGUCAUCUGAUACAUAUUACCUGAAUAUCAAUUGUUCAACAGAUGUUAGAGCGUCUCCCAUCCACGGUCUUAUUUAUCUUUGACAUGAUGCCAUAGUGUCUUUCAACUAUGGUCUUACUCAUUUUCUGUCAUGUUGCCAUGGUAUCUUUCAACCAUGGUCUUGUUCAUUUCAUAUCACGUUGCCAUGGUAUCUUUCAACCAUGGUCUUACACAUUUCAUAUCAGGUUGCCAUGGUAUCUUUCAACCAUGGUCUUACACAUUUCAUAUCAGGCUGCCAUGGUAUCUUUCAACCAUGGUCUUACACAUUUCAUAUCAGGUUGCCAUGGUAUCUUUCAACCAUGGUCUUACACAUUUCAUAUCAGAGAGCACACUCCCGCGAACCUCAUCCUUACAGUGGGAUUACCAGUCCAGGCUAAAUCCCCUGUAACAUAAACUCAUAGAGUAUUGUCGGGAUUACCAGUCCAGGCUAAAUCCUCUGCAACGACAAUUACUCUAAUGAGCUUAGAUCUGAAUUACCAGUCCAGGCUAAAUUCAGACCCUAAUUCGGAUUACCCGUCCGGGCUAAAUCCAUUUUACACGUAUUCUUCGGGAGGGCUAUAUCAGAAUAGGAUCACCGGUCCGGGCUAGAUCCUUUUUACCGUCAAUUCCUUUUCAGAGAUCCAUCGAAUUUUCCUUUCAUUCAACUGGGAUUUAUUUUCAAUUUAUAUCGAGAAUUAUCAAUAUUUCAUCAAAUAUCAUGAAUUGAACAUUCAAAUCAUAUUUUCAUCACAUAACCACAUAUUUCAAGUAUUUAAAAUACAAUUCAAGUUACACAAACUUACCUCAUUGCUUGUUUGUGUUUAUAAUUUCAUUAAUCCGAUAUCUUUUCUUUUCUACGAUCAAGUCUCAUAUUUGAGUCGUCCGGAUCUUUAUAAAUAAAUUUGAUCAUCAUUUUCAUUCAUUUCAUCUUCUAAUGCAUUUAAUUAAUGCUCUAGGCAAAAUUACCAUUUUGCCCCUAAACUUUUAAUUAAUGACGAUUUCGUCCUUAGGGUCAGGAAAAUAAAAUUCUUGCAAUUUAAUCCUUAUUUCCAGCUAUUAUUCUCAUAUAUAUUGAUAACAGUCCAUGAAUUCUAUAAAAUAUCAGAAUUUUCCAUAAUUUCAACACUUUUCAAUUUAAUCCCUAAAACAUGUUUUCCCCCGAUCUUGAACUAAAUUAAUAAUUUCAUUCAAUUUUGUAAUUUAAAUAAUAAAAUAAUCCAUUUCAUGCAAUUUGGUCAUUUAUGACAUUUUUACAAAAUUUCCCAUAAAGUUUUACUUUUAUUCAAUUUAGUCCCUAAGCCUAAAAUAUGCAAAUUAGCCAUGCUUAAUGAAUAUUCAUAUAUGUUUUCCUCCUCCUCCUCUCCAUUCCACAUCCUUGAUGUAUGUAGCACACUUGUAAGUAACAUUAUCUAUAAUCUUUAUUAUUUACUUUUAUGAAUAUUCAAGCUGUCCAUCUGUGUCAUGGUCACUAAAUUAUUUAUAUCUGGAGCUAUAGGACUCCAAAUUAAUAUCCGUUAAUUUUCCCUGAAACUAGACUCAUAUAUAUUCUUACCAUAAAAUUUUAAGAAUUUUUGGUUUAGUAAAUAAGUACAGUUUAUUCUUUAAAGUUACCCCUAUUCUGCUGUCUGACAGUUGUGACCCUUCUUCACUAAAAAUUAAUUAUCUCCUUGUACAGAAUUCGAAUGAUGUUCAUAUUUGUUUCUAUUGAAAAUAGACUCAUUCAUGAUUCUAAAAAUUUAAAUUUAAGCCUCUAAUUAUUUUAUCCAAUUUUUUUAUGAUUUUACAAAUUCAGAACAGGGGAACCCGAAAUCAUUCUGACCUUGUCUCACAAAAUUCAUAAUAUCUCAUUAUUUAGAAUUCCAUUGCUUACAUAAUUUCUUCUAUAAGAAACUAGACUUAAUAAGAUUUAAUUUCAUAUUUUAUUCAUCCUAUAAUUAGAUUUCUACAUUUUUUUAUGAUUUUUCAAAGUUAGACUACUGCUGCUGUCCAAAACUGUUUUAGUACAAGAUAUUAAUUACCAUGUUAUAACAUCCUUAUUUUCUUUUUCUACACCAUUUCUCAUCACUUUCUCUUAUUUUUUCUUCACUAACAUAUCAAGAACAUAGGACCUUAUGUAAGAAAACUCUACUAUAACAUUAUUUCCAUGCUUUAUCAAUAAUAACAAACUUAGAAACAUAUUGAAAUCUUGAUGUACUUACCUUUUCUUAUCGACUUCAAUCUUUAACUUGAUUUUUCUCUCUCCUCCAGCUUCGAUUUCUUGAAUCCGACUUGAUAUUCUUGCUCCCCAUCAUCUCCUUGCUAUCUUUCUCUCUUGAUGGCUAUGGAAAUUCUUUCAAUUUUUAGGUGAAAAUAAUGAAUUUUUGGUGGAACGACUAAAUUGUAAAGAAAGCAAACUUCUUUUCUUCUUCUUAUCUUACGUUAGUUUGCAUGGGAAAGGAAAUGUGUUGAUAAUUCUUCAUCUUUCCUUCCUUUUAUACUAAAUAAAUAAUAAUAUAAUAAUAAACAUCUCAUAAAAUAUUAAUAAAAUAAUAUUUAUCUAAUUAAUUAAUUUAAAAUAUCAUCAACAUAAUCAUUACAUUCUAGAAUUCUCUCUCUUACUAAUUGACCAUUUUGCCCUUCAUGAUCUUUUAGAAUUCCAUCCUUGAGUCAUCACUUAAUUUGGUAAAAUUGCGAUUUAGUCCCUAAUAAUUUUUUACCUAUUCAAUUUGGUCCUAAUUCAUCAAUUUUUCUUGGUUUCUAGAUCAUUCCACCCUUAAAAUAUUGUCACCAUUAGUCCUUCAACUUUUUUAUAUUUACACUUCAACCCCUUAAUUUUUUAGUAUUUACUCUUGUGCAACAAGACUUUUCUCAUCUUUACAAUUUAGUCCUUUCUUGAAUUAAUAUAUCAUAAUAUACUUUUCAAUAUUGACAUCACUCAAAAAUUCCCUUUUUGUCACUUUAUUUCCUUAUUUUACUAUAUCACGGAUAAUAUAUUACUGUAAAAAUUUUCGGGGUAUUACAAAGAAUGAAUAAACUUUUUAAAUAUGGGACUUUAAGCUCACUUAAAGAGGUACAUCUUCCACAAUGUAAAUCUUGCCUUGAAAGGUAAAAUGACAAAGCAAUCUCCUCAUGCAAAAGGUACAAGGGCUGUUCAAUCAUUAAAACUUGUGAAUACUGGCGUAUGAGAUCCCAUGAACGUUAGUGUGAGAUUUGGUUACAAUUAUUAUGUAAACUUUAUAAACAUUUAUUCCAGAUACUAGUCUGUGUACCUAAUGCACCACAAGAGUGAAACUUUUAAAAAGUUUCAAGAGUUUAGUGUGAAAGUGGAGAAACAAUUAGGUUUACCUAUUAAGAAACUUCAGUUUGACCAACGCGGGGAAUACUUAUGGGACGAGUUUAUAGGAUACCUCAUAGAGAAUGAGAUACAAUUCUAAUAAAUUGUGCGAGGUACUCUACAAUAGAAUGGCGUGGCAGAAAGAUGGAACAAAACCUUACAGAUAGAAUUGUGCAUGUUUGUUGGUUGUCCAAAACGAACUAAGGGUGGAUUAUUUUAUAACCCAAAAGACCAAACAGUUAAGGUUUAGACUUAUGCUACUUUCCUUGGGGAAAUCUAUAUUAAAAAUUUUAAACCUUGAAGUAGAUUGUAACUUCAUAAAAUUUCAGGAAAAUGAGCUUAUUUUUUAGUAACUUGUAAGUCAUUUUACGUGAAACAAACGCAUCUGAAGGAAAAUGAAUAAGAGGAUAAUAAUUUUAUAAACAAUGAUCUAAAAAUUUUACUCAUACCAUGUGUCGAAACUAUUUUUAAAUCGAGUUUUGGAAAAUGGGAAUCGACUUUAAAAAUGAAAACGGGAGUCGCCGCCAAUCUUUUUAGGUGUGAUUGGAUCACCUUUAAAACAUUUGUUUUAAAAUCGUUGGUUUUGGUCUACGAAAUCAAAAGAAUGGGUUCGGGAGUCGGUUACGUACGAGGAAGGGUUGGCACCCUCGUAACGCCCAAAAAUUGGUACCUAAUUGAUUAUCAAAAUGUCUCUAAUGUCGGAAAUUAAAAAUUUUAAGAUGUAAUCCUCUUUAAAGUAUUUGAAAAUUUGGGUUUACUUGUAUCAAAGUAUUGACUAUAAGUUAGCCUUUUAGAAACCUCUAUCUCAAAAUAGCAAAAUGUUACAUUCAGUAAGUUAGGACAUAUCACUUUACAAUUCCAAGACAGUCACUUAUAUUUUGAAAUCCUUUAAGAACUUUAGAAUGGUACUUGACUAUUCGAACUUAACGAGAAAAGUUGCAACCCAAUAAGUUAGGGCACUACUUCUUCGAAAUUUUCAAACACCAAGCAUUGCCUUUAUAUUUUUUGAAAAUUUUGGAGCCUUGUCUUUUUAAAGAUGAUGUGUGGAGAAUUGUAUUAAAUCAUAAUGAUAUAUUAUUGUACUAGGUAGAUAAAAAAUGAAUACUACGAUAUAAAGAAUAAUACAUAUAAAGCAAAAAAAAAUGCAAACAAAGAUAUAUAGCAUGUAUCGAGAACGGAUAAACAAGAUAUAUAAACAUAUGAGAUAAUACUUAAAUGAUGCGUGAUAUAAAAACAAACAUAAUCAAAUAAUGCAUGAUAUACAAAUAGAAUAAAUGUAAUGUCAAUAUGCAUAUAAUUAUAAUAAAAAAUUUAACACAUACAUGAUACAUACAAUACAAAACAUAUAGAAGAACUAAUAAAAAAAAUGAUUGAUUGCUAACAAAAUAUACAUGCAAUUAAAAACAAGACAUUUCAUAUCAAUAGUAUUUAAUAUAUAAUAUAAUAACAUAGUAACAAGAAUAAAAGAAUAAUAAUUAUAUAACAAUAUAUUGGUUUGAAAGCAUGUAAGAGAUUUCAUAAUAUAACAAUAUUAGUUUAAAAUGAAAUAAUAUAUGUAUAGUAAAUAAAUAAAAAAAUGAAAUGUGUAUAUAAUGUGAGUUAAAAAUAUGAUUUAAUAAUAAUAAUUUACAUUUUUAAAAUAAUAUAUAUAAAACAAUCUAAUUUGCGAUACAUAAUAUACAUAACAUAUAUAUAUAAAAUAAUAUAAAAAUGAAAUAUAAUAAAGAUUAUAUAAUAAAAUGUAAUAUGAACAUAUAAGAAAAAAAAUAGAUAUAAUAUGAAGUAACAAUAUAUAUAAGUAAUUAAUAAAUAUAAUAUAUGAAAAUAUAAUAAUAUAUAUAAGAGAUGUAAAAUAAUAAUUUAAGAAAAAUAAUAUAUAAUAAGUAAUAAUAAUAUAUAAUUAAAAAUAAUACUUAUAAUAAAAUAAUUUUAUAAUAUAUAAUAUAAAAGUAAAAUUAGAAAUAAACGAAUAAUAAAAUAUAUAUGGAAUAAUAUAAUAAAUAUAGGACUAAAUUUAAAGUUUAACAAAAUUAUGGGGCGAAUUUUGAAAGGAAUAAAACUGAAUUAAGGACCUAUUUAAAACGCGCGCAAAAUUAAAGGGACUCACUGGGCAAAUUGCCCCUUUUCCCAAAACGUCACCGUUUCCCCUAAUACAAUUGUAAAUCAUUGGGAGGGUCGAAUUGAAAUAGAAUUAAAAUAUUAAUACCAAAUUAAAAAAAUAAAAAAAUGAAAUUAGAAGUAUAAAAAAUUGCGAGAGGACCAAUUGGGUAAUUAACCCAAUUCUCAAAAAUGGGCGGAUCCUCCCCGGGUAAUUGGGUCAACGCGCGGAUCCUAUAGUUGUAAAAUGACACCGUUUUAAAUAGACUAUAUAAAUCAAACUUCGCCCCCAAAAUCAUUUUAACAUCCGUUUUCAAAAAAAAAAAGAAAAAAUCCUCUGGAAGAGGAUUUGGGGGCCGAUCCCGGAGCUGCUGAGCCUCCGUCCAGGGGUCUCCUCACGCGCUCACGCGCCGCCCUGUACGGUGGUCUGAGGGUUAAAAUCCUCGUCCUUCCACAGGUAAUCUCUUCCCCUUUUUAAAAAUUACUAUUUUUUGCUAAAAUGAUGUACAUACAUGCAUAUGCUCUAAAAUGAAAAAAACACACAGUUAAAUCACCUUUUCUUUGAAACUGCUUGUAUUCUCUUUUUUUAUUUCUGUAUGCAUGUGUGUGUAAUCGUUACAAGAGUUACAAAGGCUUUUUAUAGCCUACGGAUUUGUUACAUAAGGAAAGAAAUCUCUGAUUUCUAUUGUAUCUUUGACUGAUGUGCUGCGAUUUCCUUGCCAUUUUCUACUCUGCUUUUUCGCGUAUCUGCUGUUUGUUUCCUUUUCUUGUAGGCAAUUGAGCGAGGGAUCCGGCAAUGACCAUGCUGGUGUAGACGCGUGCACUAAUCACGGUGCUGAUGGAGGGUUACUGAAACAUCGUGGGAGACGAGCAGACGCAUCCGUUGAAAUUGCUUCUGGAAGCUUCUACUUGCGACGCGAGGAGAAAGGCAGAAACCCUAGGGUUUGCUGCCUUGGUGUAACAAGCUGGGCCAAUUGGGCUUUUUGAAUUUGGGCUAGCUAGUUUUAAUUGGGUCACGGGUGUUUGUGGGUCUGCUGGGUAGUUUGGGCCUGAUUAGGUUACAAGUGUAACGGGCUUUGGGCUCACUAGGCUUUGAGGCCUGUUUAUUUGUAAAUAGACUUUAAUGGACAUUUUUUAAAUAAAUAUUUAUUCAUAUUCUGCUUUCAGCCCGGUUAAAUUUGGGCUUUUACACCAUGAUUUUGAUUUAUUUUAUUAGUGAUUUUCAUUUUCUAUUUUCCUUUUUUUAGCGACUCUUUAGAUAAUUGAGACCAUUAAAAAUAAAUCAUAAUAACUAAAAUUAAAAAUUUAAUAUUAUAAAAAAAACCCAUAUAUUUUAGUUUAAAUUUUAAAAUUAAAUUGUUCACAGAUUAAGCUAUUUCUCCGCUUAGUAGGCACGUUUUAAAUUUUUUUACCACAAAUUAUCUCUCUCAAAAAUAGUAAACCUAACAACAUCCUUUUACCAAAUUUACACAUUUACACGUUUUGUUCAACACUCUCGGCAAUUACCAAUCCAACUGUUAUAAAUUAGGCCAAAGUUCAUUGGAAAAAACACACCAUCACAAAUUAACAGUAUUAGCCGCCUAGCUAGCUAACUUUUAUUUUAAAAAAAACAUGAAGAGGUUUUCCCUUAUUGUUUUGUGCGUGGUGACUCUAGUGAUGGUGUUGUUUUCAGGUGCAGAGGCAGCGCCAGUGCCGAAAUGUGAUAACCCCUUAGAGUAUAGCUCAUGCUUGAAUGCGUACAAGAAGCCACCUCCAUCAGCCGGUUGUUGCCAGAAGAUGAAGGAACAAGCACCAUGCUAUUGCAAGUACAUGAAGAUAGAAGAUGUCAAACGUGUUUUUGACAGAGUUGAGAUUGCGAAAAUGGCUAAAUUGUGUGGAGUUUCAUAUUCUUCCACCUGCUAGAAUCCCGUUUGGUUUCAUUUGACUAUCUCUGGAUGAGAUAACCUGACAUCUCAAUAAAUGAAAAUUUUAUUUGAAAACUAUUUUUUUACCCAUAAUUUCGACUAUAAUGUACUUGUGUUCUUUUUUUUUUUUGGAAUAAUACUGGUGGUUUGCUAUUAUUUACCUUUAUUGUCUUGAUUCAUGUUAUAUAUAUGCAAAAAGAACUACACAAUGAUCUAGAUUUUGUUUGAACUAUACUGGAUUGGUUAGAUUAGAAACUGAUCUGGAUAGUAGUAUAAUUAGAGGGGUUAGAUUGGUUGACCCACGAACCGAUAGGCAGUAGUUGAAUCGGUUUUCUCUAAUAAAGUAUUUUUAUAUUUAUUUUAAUCUUUAAGUAAUUUAUUUAAUCAAACUAGAUGAAUAGUUCGAAAUAAAAAAAUAGUUAUUUAACUGAUUUAAUCGUCGUCCAGUUCUGAAAACAUUGUUAUAGUUAAAAAAAAAACAAGAGAAAUGAGUUGUGUAGAUCAAAUUAUUAUAUUAUAAAAAUAUAUGUUAUUUGAAUAUUUAUUUAGGUAAAAUACACUAGUAGUCACUCAACUUUUAGUAAAUUUCUUUAUUUCUUAUCGAAUUAUGAAAAAUUACAAAAUGAUCACCUAACUAUUCAAUUUUUUCUUUUUUGAGCUUCGGUCAGCUAAUGGUGACAACCAGACUUGUUAAUUGGUCGAGUUACCUGCCCAAGCCCGAUGGUCUGCUUGAAAAAUGGAAGGGUUUGGACAAAUAUAUGGUGCCGAAAAAUGGGUUAGGGUAAAAUUUAAGGCCUAUUUUCUAUAUGAUUGGGAUCUGUGCAAAUUUUUUUUUAGCCGAGCACAAUUUGAUUAUAUUAAUUAUAUAUGUUAAAUAAUAAUUCUAUAUUUAUAUAUAUUGAAUUACUAACCCAAUAACAACUAAACCCAUUUUUCAAAACCUAAAAAAAAAACUUAGCCAACUUAAUAAUUGGCUUCAGCUUUUCCUCAAGCCCGUCAAUUAGUUAACCAUAGACAUAUUUUAGUUAAUGGCUUACAGUAGAUAUACCAAGUUAUCGUUGUAAGCCCCGAGAUAUUAUUUCAAUGAGGGAUGAACAAAAUUCUAGAACUCUUAUUCAAAAUCAUCUUGAUUCAUCCACCAAUGAGGAAUUACCAAAACAUUUAGCCAUUCACACAUUACAAUAUAAAGGAUUAGUCAAUCAAAUAAUAUAUGAGAAAUAGGUUGGUUUGAAAUAAAUGGAUUGCUUGUAGUAGAAUAUUAUUCUCGUCAGAACUAAAAAUAUAAAAUAUAAAAUUUUUUAUUUAAUACAAUAAAACAUUUAUUAUAUUUAUGGUAGUGUUUUUUAAUGAAUCUUUAAUGUGGUAUGAAACUCUCAGUUGAUGAAACUUAUUUAGUGGUAGAUUCAAUAAACUAUUGGGUCAUUAAUUCUGAAGUCAUUAAUAAUAUUUGUGUUUAUUGUUGGGGUUUAAGUAAACGAGAAGCCUCCGUGAUAAGGAUCUCUCGUUGCUUGCUAGAGAUGGGAGAAAUGUAGCAGCAAAAGAAGUGGGAGAAGUACAUUUGUAUUUUGAUAAUUUUAGGAAAUUUAUUUUAAAUGAUAUUUUUUAUGUACCUAGUUUUAGGAGAAAUUUAAUUUCUAUUGCAUGUUUAUUUAAAGCAAGUUUUUUUGUGACUUUUAAUAAAGGGAUUGCAAUUCAUAAAAAUCAUGUUCUUAUCCGUAAUGGAUGGGUGCAAAAUAAUAUUUAUUUUCUUACACAAAAGAGCUAUUCACUGCUUGAAACCAAACUUGUGAAUGAGAAACUUAAAACUUCUCACUCUGAUUCUUAUGAUAUUUAAUACUUAAUCGCGUUAAACAAGAAAGAAUGAAUAAACUUUUUAAAGAUGAGACUUUAAGUUUACUUAAAGUGAUACAUCUUUCACAAUGUAAAUCUUGCUUGAAACGUAAAAUAACCAAGCAAUCUUCUAAUGCAAAAGGUACAAGGGUUGUUCAAUCAUUCAAACUUGUGCAUACCGACAUAUGUGGUCCCAUGAACGUUAGUGUAAGAUUUGGUUACAAUUAUUUUGUAAACUUUUUAGAUAUCUAGAUACUAGCUAGUAUGUGUACGUAAUGCAUCACAAAAGUGAAACUUUAAAAAAAAUUCAAGAUUUUAGUGUGAAAGUGCAGAAACAAUUAGGUUACCUAUUAAGGCACUUCAGUUUGACCGACGUGGGGAAUACAUAUCAGACGAGUUCAUAAGAUACCUCAUAGAGAAUGAGAUACUAUCCCAAUUAACUGUGCAGGGUACUCCACAACAGAAUGGCAUAGCAAUGAGAUGGAACAAAACCUAGCUUGAUAUGAUUUAUUCAAUGCUAAGUUAUUCAAAACUUCCAAUAUCAUUCUUGGGGUAAGCAUAUCGACUUGCGAUAUUUUAAAUUACAUAAAAACUAAGGAAGCACUUCAGGAUCCAUAUGAAAUGUGGCAUGACAUGAAGCCAAGCCUAAAUCAUUUUAGGAAUUGGGGAUGCCCAACUUACGUGUUGGCUAAAGAUACAAAAAAUUUGGAAGCACGGAUAGAAUUUUGCAUGCUUGUUGGUUGUCCAAAACGGAGUAAGGGUGGAUAAAUUUAUAAUCCAAAAGACCAAACAGUUAAUGUUUCGACUUUUGCUACUUUCCUUGAGGAUAUCUAAAUUAAAGAUUUUAAACCUCAAAGUAGAUUGUUACUUCAAAAAAUUUUAGGAAAAUGAGCUUCUUUUUCUAUGACUUGUAAGUCAUUUUCCGUGAAAUAAACCCAGUUGAAGGAAAAUGAAUUCACGGAAAAUGAAUAAGAGGAUAAUAAUUUUAUAAACAGCGAUAUAAAAUAUUUUACUCAUACCAUCAUUUUGAUUGAUUUUAUUAGUGAUUUUAAUUUUCUAUUUUACUUUUUUUAGUGACUCUUUAAAUAAUUGAGACCAAUAAAAAAACCAUAACAACUAAAAUUAAAAAUUUAAUAUUCUAAAAAAAUAUUUUAAUUUUAAUUUUAAUUUUAAAUUGUUCAAAGAUUAAGCUAUUUUCUCGGCUUUGUAAGCACGUUUCAAUUUUUUUUUACCACAAAUUAUCUCCCUUACAAAAAUAGUAAACCUAACAGUAUCCUUUUACAACAUUUACACAUUUACACGUAUUGCCCAAAACUCUCGGCAACUAAUAAUCCAACUACUAUAAACUGUGUAAAAGUUCAUUGGAAAAAACACACCAACACAAAUUACCAUUAUUAGUCACCCAACAAGCUAACUUUUUAUUUAAAAAAACAUGAAGAGGUUUUCCCUUAUUGUUUUGUGUGUAGUGACUUUAGUGGUGGUGUUGUUUUCGGGUGCAGAGGCAGCGCCAGUGCCGAAAUGUGAUAACCCUUUGGAGUAUAGCUCAUGCUUGAAUGCGUAUAAGAAGCCACCUCCAUCAGCCGGUUGUUGCCAGAAGAUGAAGGAACAAGCACCAUGCUAUUGCGAGUACAUGAAGAUAGAAGAUGUCAAACGUGUUUUUGACAGAGUUGAGAUUGCGAAAAUGGCUAAAUUGUGUGGAGUUUCAUAUUCUUUCACCUGCUAGAAUCCCGUUUGGUUUCAUUUGACUCUCUCUGGCUAGGAUAACUUGGCAUCUCAAUAAAUGACAAUUUUAUUUGAAAACUAUUUUUUUACUCAUAAUUUCGACUAUAAUGUACUUGUGUUCCGUUUUUUUUGGAAUGAUACUAGUGGUUUGCUAUCAUUUACCUUUAUUGUCUUGAUUCAUAUUACAUAUGUGCUAAAAGAACUACACAAUGAUCUAGAUCUUGUUUGAAUCAUAUUGGAUUGGUUAGAUUGGAAAUUGAUCUAGAUACCAAUAUAAUUAGAUGGGUUAGAUUGAUUGACCCACGAACCAAUGGAGACUGGUUGAAACGGUUUUCACUAUUUCUUUAAAAAUAUUUUUAUAUUUAUAUAAAUUAUUAAAUAAUUUAUUUAAUCAAACUAGACGAACAAGUUGAAAUGAAAAAUAGUUAUUUGACUGAUUUGACCAUCGGUCCAGUUCUAAAAACAUUGUUAUAGUUUAAAAAAAAAAGAGAAAUGGGUAGGGUAAAUAAAAUUAUUAUAUUAUAAAAAAAAUGUUAUUCGAAUAUUUAUUUGGGUAAAGUAUACUUGGAGUCACUCAACUUUUAGUAAAUUUCUUUAUUUCUCAUCGAAUUAUGAUCUCCAAUUAGCUAAUGGUGGUAGCUAGACUUGUUAAUUGGCUGGGUUACCUGCCCAAGUCCAACGGCCCGCUUGAAAAAUGGAAGGGUUUGGACAAAUACACGAUGCUGAAAAAUGGGUUUGGGUAAAAUUUAAGGCCUAUUUUAGUUAAACAAAAUUCUAGAACUCUUAUUCAAAAUCAUCUUGAUUCAUCCAGCAAUGAGGAAUUACCAAAACAUUUGACCCUUCACACAUUACUAUAUAAAGGAUUAGUUAAUCAAAUAAUAUAUGAGAAAUGGGUUGGCUUGAAAAUAAAUGGAUUGCUUGUCGUAGAAUAUUAUUCUCGUCAGAACUAAAAAUAUAAAAUAUAAAAAUUUUAUUUAAUACAAUAAAACAUUUAUUAUAUUUAUGGUAGUGUUUUUUAAUGAAUUUUUAAUGUGGUAUGAAACUCUUAGUUGAUGAAACUUAUUUAGUGGUAGAUUUAAUAGACUAUUGGGUCAUUAAUUUUGAAGUCACUAAUAAUAUUUAUGUUUAUUGCUGGGGUUCAAAUAAACGAGAAGCAUUCGUGAUAAGGAUCUCUCGUUGCGAGCUGGAGAUGGGAGAAAUGUAGCGGCAAAAUAAGUGGGAGAAGUACAUUUGUAUUUUGAUAAUUUUAGGAAAUUUAUUUUAAAUGAUAUUUUUCAUGUACCUAGUUUUAAGAGAAAUUUAAUUUCUAUUGCAUGUUUAUUAAAAAAGUUUUUCUAUGACUUCUAAUAAAAGGAUUGCAAUUCAUAAAAAUCAUGUUCUUAUCCGUAAUGGAUGAGUGCAAAAUAAUAUUUAUUUUAUUACACAAAAGUGCAACUCACUGCUUGAAACCAAACUCGUGAAUAAGAAACUUAAAACAUCUCACGCUAAUACUUAUGAUAUUUAAGACUUAGUCGCGUUAAACAAUAAAGAAUGAAUAAACUUUUUAAAGAUGGGACUUUAAGCGCACUUAAAGAGAUACAUUUUCCACAAUGUGAAUCUUGCUGCAAAGGUAAAAUGACCAAGCAAUCUUCUAAUGUAAAAGGUACAAUGGUUGUUCAAUCAUUAAAACUUGUGUAUACUAACAUAUGUGGUCCCAUGAUCAUUAGUGUGAGAUUUGGUUACAAUUAUUAUUUAAACUUUUUAGAUAUUUAUUCCAAAUAUUGGUAUAUGUACCUAAUGCACCACAAGAGUGAAACUUUUAAAAAAAUUCAAGAGUUUAGCGUGAAAGUUGUAACACCCCUUACCCGUGUCUGACACCGAGACAGGGUAAGAGGCGUUAUUGGACUUAAACAUAACAAAUCAUACAAAACUGGGCCAUAAAAUUUUGCUCAAAUUAAAACCAUCCAUUAACAUAUAUAUAUCGUCCCUUAUAUGGGCCCAAAAGGCCCAAAACAUACAUUGGGUGUGGUUCGGGACUAAACCGAGAACUUUCGAAACUUUUAGAACACUUAGAAAAAUUUUCUUAUUUUGGAGAGCCACACGCCCGUGUGGUCACACACGCCUGUGUCCUCAGCCCGUGUAACUCUUUAUUUAUGAUGUCAUCAACACAAUUAGGGUCACUCAGCCAAGUCAAACGUCAUUGUGCUUAGAUCGUGUGGUGAAUUAAAUUCUAAAUUCAGGUGCAGGCUUCACACGGCCUGGGCACACACCCAUGUCCUAAGGCCGUGUCCUUCACACGGCAGGGACACAUGCCCGCGUCUCUGCCCUUGUGUUUACUACUGGGCAUUUUGAUUUGCAUUUAUUAGGGUGCAGGGGACACACGGUCUAGACACAUGCCUAUGUGUCUACUCGUGUAGACAACUUUGAGGCUAUCUUCCAAGCCUUUUAUCACCCGUAAUAACACAUACACACUUAUACAUCUCAAUCACAACUUACAUAGCAUAAAUGAGAACUUACGCAUUCACAACCAUGGCCCAUGCACAUCAACUUCUUAUCAAUUAGUACUUGUUAAGACUCCAUAUUUUAUUUAAGCUAAGCUUACCAAAUCACAUGCAAUAUACAACAUCAUAUUUACUUCCAUUUUACACAUUUAUGCCUUAGUUGUUAUUAUGCCAUUUACUCACAAUUCCAUCAUCAAACAUCCAUGAUCAUAUCCAUAAUUCAUCUAUGCCAAAAUGAAUUAAACACAUCAUGAAUGACCUCAGCACAAGCAUGCAUAUAUGAAUAGGAUUAUAUCCCCAUAAUUAAAAUGAGCCAUAUCUCAUGGCCAUAUACUAAAUGAAUCAUCAAAUCAUUAUAAGCCAACACAUUUGGCUAACCCAAUAUGACAUAUAACAAAAAGACCAAGUCCCUAUACAUGCCAUACUCAAAAUACUUAAAUUCAUUAUACCUAAAAGAUUAGUUUGAUAGUGUGAAUCGAGCUCCGAUGUCCUUUGAUCCUCGAGCUAGCUUGGCGAUACUAUAAAAGAUGGAAAGGAAGGGGGUAAGCAUUAAGGCUUAGUAAGUUCACAUGCAAAUAAAUAGCAACAUCAUCAUGAAUAUAUAUAAAUACCAUUGACAUAACCUAGUUUAAAUAUAUGUCAUCAUAGAUUCAUAAGCAUAACUUACACAUCUUCAAUCUUACCAACAGGUCAUCAUAUACGGAGUUCAUUCAUAAGAGUUUUUCAUACAUACCUGUACCAACUCGUAAUACAUUCUCGUAUUUCCUCCUCAAUGACUUACUUGUUGAAUAACUCACUGAUUUACCUGUUGAACACUUGAAAUACUAUCGAUACACGGAAAACUUGCACGUGGUGCUUCAAACGUAGCCACAUGCUACCUCAUAUUACAAUUACACAUUACUCGCUCUCGAGCUAAUCACGGGUCUGUUCACACAAGCUGACAGUCAGGACAUAACUACUCGGGCUGCUCAUACAAGCUGACAAGUACCCGCAACACUUGCCGGGCUACCCAGCCACUGGUAAAACAUACAAGACUAGCACCCGGAUUCACAUAAACACAUAUCGCAUAUCUUAUGAGCUCAACACAUAUAGUUCCUAUUUACAUGUCACGUUAUAUCCUAAAUUAUUCCUAUGGUUCAAACGGGAUUUUCUCGAUAUCACAUAUUCGUCGAACUCAUUCACAAUGUCGUACUCAUAGACAAUAGCGUCAUUCAUACACUCGUCAUAAUAAUUAAACAUGGAGACUCAUUCAUAAAUAAAAUAUUAAAACAUGAUAUGUCAUUGCAUUAUUUACACAUGAACUUACCUUGGUACAAAAUAUGGACAAUUAAUUUGAUUUAGUCUAAAAUCUUGUUCUUUCCCCGGUCUAGGUCCGGACUCCGUUUUUCUUGAUCUAUAAUAGCAAAUUCAGCCCAUUAAUUCAUUACAUUAUUCAAAUCAGUCCAAAAAACUAUAUUUUGGAAAAAUUAUGAUUUUUCCCCUAAACUUUCACAUAUUUGCAAAUUAGUCUCUAGGCUCGUAAAAUGAAAUGUGUUCAUUUUCUUUGUUACCCAAGCCUAGCCGAACUUAUAACAUGCUCAUAGAAGCCCACAUUUCUCAUUAAAUCAUACAUCUUACUACCCAUUUUACAAACUUUACAAAUAAGUCCUUUUUAACCAUUUUCAAUAGAAAUCACUUGGUAAAAGAUGUUUAUCACACAUCAAAUAUUCAUAUUCAUCCAUUAAACAUCAAAACACAUGCGAUUCAUACAUGGGUCAAAUUUCAAAUAUGAAUCCUACUUAAAAAUAUGGCUAGAAAUAGGUAAAUCGGGUUACGAGGGUUUCAAAAAUGUAAAGAGCAUUAAAAACGGGGCUAAGAUGUUCUUACUAUUGAGCUUGAAAGUAGAAGAAACCCUAGCUAUGGAACCCUUGAGAUUUUCGGCCAAGGUGGGAGAAGAUGGACACAAUUUUUGACUUAUUUUCCUUUUUUAUUCUUUUAUUAACCAAAUGACAAAAACGCCCUUAAGGCUUUUCUUUCAAACUUUUCCUAUUCAUGCCCAUUUUUGUCCAUAGAUAUAGAAAUUGGGAAAUUUUCUAUUUAAGGACAUCUAAUUAACAAUCCAUGGCAAUUUCAUGCUCAAAGCUUCUAGAACUCGCAUUUUGCAAGUUUUGCAAUUUAGUCCUAAAUGUCAAAUUGGACAUUUUAUCAAUAAAAUUUUUUCAUGAAAUUUUCACACAAGCAUGCAAUCAUAUCAGAGGCCUCAUAAUAAUCAUAAAACAAUUAUUUAUAUUUUGGAUUUGUGGUUUCAAAACCACUGUUUCGACUAGACCCUAAUUCAAGAUGUUACAAAAGUGGAAAAACAAUUAGAUUUACCCAUUAAGACACUUCGGUUUGACCGACGUGAGGAAUACUUAUCGGACAAGUUCAUAGGAUACCUCAUAGAGAAUGAGAUAUUAUCCCAAUUAACUGUAUAGGGUACUCCACAACAGAAUAGCGUGGCACAGAGAUGGAAUAAAACCUUGCUUGAUAUGAUUUAUUCAACGUUAAGUUAUUCAAAACUGUCGAUAUCAUUCUGGGGGUAAGCAUUACUAAUGACUUCCUAUAUUCUAAGUUACAUACAAACUAAGGUAGCACCUUAGGAUCCAUAUGAAAUGUGGCACAACAUGAAGCCAGACUUAAAUCAUUUUAGGAAUUGGGGAUGUCCAACCUAUGUGUUGGCUAAAGAUGCAAAAAAGUUGGAAGCACGAAUAGAAUUGUGCAUGUUUGUUGGCUGUCCAAAACGGAGUAAGGGUGGAUAAUUUUAUAACCUAAAAUACCUAAUAGUUAAGGUUUCAACUUAUGCUAAUUUUUUUGAGAAAAUCUACAUUAACAAUUUUAAACUUCAAAGUAGAUUGUUACUUCAGAAAAUUUCAGGAAAAUGAGCUUAUUUUUCGAUGACUAGUAAGUCAUUUUUUGUGAGACAAAUGCACCCGAAAGAAAAUGAAUAAGAGGAUAAUAAUUUAUAAACAGUGAUCUAAAACAUUUUACUCAUACCAUCAUUUUAAUUGAUUUUAUUAGUGGAUUUAAUUUUCUAUUUUACUUUUUUUAGUGACUCUUUAAAUAAUUGAGACCAUUAAAAAUAAACCAUAACAACUAAAAUUUAAAUUUUAAUAUUCUAGAAAAACCAUAUAUUUUAAUUUCAAUUUUAAAUUUAAAUUGUUCAAAGAUUAAGCUAUUUUCUUGGCUUUGUAAUCCCAUUUCAGUUUUUUUUACCACAAAUUAUCUUUAUCUCAAAAAUGGUAAACCUAACAACAUCCUUUUACCAAAUUUACACAUGUACGCGUAUUGUCCAAAACUCUUGGCAACUAAUAAUCCAACUUCUAUAAAUUGUGCCAAAGUUCAUUGGAAAAAACACACCAACACAAAUUACCAUUAUUAGUCGCCCAGCUAGCUAACUUUUUUAUUUAAAAAAACAUGAAGAGAUUUUCUCUUAUUGUUUUGUGCGCGGUGACUCUAGUGGUGGUGUUGUUUUCAGGUGCAGAGGCAGCAGCGCCAGCGCCAAAAUGUGAUAACCCCUUAGAGUAUAGCUCAUGCUUGAACGCGUAUAAGAAGCCACCUCCAUCAGCCGGUUGUUGCCAGAAGAUGAAGGAACAAGCACCAUGCUAUUGCGAGUACAUGAAGAUAGAAGAUAUCAAACGUGUUUUUGACAGAGUUGAGAUUGCGAAAAUGGCUAAAUUGUGUGGAGUUUCAUAUUCUUUCACCUGCUAGAAUCCCGUUUGGUUUCAUUUGACUAUCUCUGGUUGGGAUAACCUGGCAUCUCAAUAAAAGAAAAUUUUAUUAGAAAACUAUUUUUUUUACUCAUAAUUUCGACUAAAAUGUACUUGUGUCCUUUUUUUUUUUGGAAUGAUACUGGUCAUUUGCUAUUAUUUACCUUUAUUGUCUUGAUCAUGUUACAUAUGUGCUAAAAGAGCUACACAAUAAUCUAGAUUUUGUUUGAAUCGUAUUGGGUUGGUUGGAUUUGGAAAUUGAUCUAGAUACCAAUAUAAUUUGAGGGGUUAGAUUGGUUGACCCACGAACCAAUGGAGACUAGUUGAAAUGGUUUUCUCUAUUUCUUAAAAAAUAUUUUAAUAUUUAUUUAAAUUAUUAAAUAAUUUAUUUAAUCAAACUAGACGAACAGGUCAAAAAUAAAAAAUAGUUAUUUGACUGAUUCGACCAUUGGUCCAAUUUUGAAAACAUUGUUAUAGUUAAAAAAACAAGAGAAAUGGGUAGGGUAGAUCAAAUUAUUAUAUUAUAAAAAUAAAUGUUAUUCGAAUAUUUAUUUGGGUAAAGUACACUAGUAGUCACUCAACUUUUAGUAAAUUUCUAUUUUUCUCAUCGAAUUAUGAAAAAUCACAAAAUAAUCACCCAACUAUUCAAUUUUUUUUGAGCUCCAGUUAGCUAAUAGUGGUAGUUAGACUUGUUAAUUGGUCGGGUUACCUACCCAAGUCCAGUGGCCUGCUUGAAAAAUGGAAGGGUUUGGACAAAUACACGAUGCCGAAAAAUAGGCUUGGGUAAAAGUUAAGGCAUAUUUUCUAUAUGGGUCGGGAUUUGUGCAAAUUAUUUUGACCCGUUCCCAGUCCGACCCGAAUAUAUUAUGUUAUAAAAAUAAUUAUAUUAAUUAUAUAUGUUAAAUAAUUAUUAUAUAUUUUUUAUAUUUAUAUUAAAUUACUAAGCCAAUAACAACUAAACCCAUUACCCAAACCUUAAAAAAAUCCUUACCCAACUAAAUAAUUGGCUUCGACUAUUCCUAAAGCCUGUCAAUUAGUUAACCAUAAACAUAUUUUAGUUAAUGGCGUACAAUAGAUAUACCAAGUCAUCAUUGCAAUCUUCGAGAUAUUAUUUUAGCGGCGGAUGAGUAAAAUUCUAGAACUCUGAUUCAAAAUUAUUUUGAUUCAUCCACCAAUGAGGAGUUGCCAAAACAUUUGACCCUUCACACAUUACUAUAUAAAGGAUUAGUCAAUCAGAUAAUAGAUAGGAAAUGGGUUGGUUUGAAAAUAAAUGGAUUGAUUGCCGUAGAAUAUUAUUCUCAUCAAAACUCAACAUAUUUUUAAAAAUUUUAUUUAAUAAUGUGGUAUGAAACUCUUAGUUGAUGUAACUUAUUUAGUGCUAGAUUCAAUGUACUAUUAGGUCAUUAAUUCUAAAGCCAUUAAUCAUAUUUAUUUUUAUUGUAGGGGUUCAAGUAGAACAGAAGCCUUCGUGAUAAGGAUCUCUUGUUGCAAACUAGAGAUGAGAGAAAUGUAGCGGCAAAAGUAGUGGGAGAAAUACAUUUGUAUUUGAUAAUUUUAGAAAAAUUAUUUUCAAUGACAUUUUUAUGUACCUAUUUUUUAUGUGACUUCUAAUAAAGGAACUACAAUUCAUAAAAAUCAUGUUCUUAUCCGUAAUGGAUGGAUGCAAAAUAAUAUUUAUUUUAUUAAACAAAAGAGCUACUCACUACUUGAAAUUGAACUUGUGAAUAAGAAACUUAAAACUUCUCACUCUAAUACUUAUUAUAUUUAAGACUUAGUCGUGUUAAACAAGAAAGAAUGAAUAAACUUUUUAAAGAUGAGACUUUAAGCUCACUUAAAAAGACAUAUCUUCUACAAUGUGAAUCUCGCUUGAAAGGUAAAAUGAUCAAGAAAUCUUCUAAUGCAAAAGGUACAAGGGUUAUUCAAUCAUUAAAAAUUGUGCAUACUGACUUAUGUGAUCCCAUGAACAUUAGUGUGAGAUUGGUUACAAUUAUUAUGUAAACUUUUUAAAUAUUUAUUCUAGAUAUUGUUAUGUGUAUCUAAUGCACCACAAGAGUGAAAUUUUUAAAUAUUUUCAAGAGUUUAAUGUGAAAAUGGAGAAACAAUUAGGUUUAACUAUUAAGACACUUCGAUUUGACUGACGUGGGGAAUCCUUAUGGGACGAGUUAAUAGGAUACCUCAUAGAGAAUGAGAUACUAUCCCAACUAACUAUGCGGGGUAAUCCACAACAGAAUAGCGCGGUAGAGAAAUGGAACAAAACCUUACUUGAUAUGGUUUAUUCAAUGUUAAGUUAUUCACAACUGUCGAUAUCAUUCUGGGGUUAAGCAUUACUAACGACUUGCUACAUUCUAAAUUACAUUCAAACUAAGGCAGUGCCUCAGGAUCCAUACGAAAUGUGGCACGACAUGAAGCCAGGCUUAAAUCAUUUUAGGAAUUGGGAAUGUCAAACCUACGUGUUGGCUAAAGAUGCAAAAAAGUUGGAAGCACGGAUAGAAUUGUGCAUGUUUUUUGGCUGUCCAAAACGGAGUAACGGUGGAUAAUAUUAUAACCCAAAAGACCAAACGGUUAAGGUUUUGACUUAUGCUACUUUCUUUGAGGAAAUAUACAUUAACAAUUUUAAACUUCGAAGUGGAUUGUUACUUCAAAAAAUUUCAGGAAAAUGAACUUAUUUUUUGAUGACUUGUAAGUCAUUUUCUGUGAAACAAAUGCACCUGGAGGAAAAUGAAGAAGAGGAUAAUAAUUUUAUAAAUAGUGAUCUAAAAAAUUUUACUCAUACCAUAAUUUUAAUUUAUUUUAUUAGUGAUUUUCAUUUUCUAUUUUACUUUUUUUAGUGACUCUUUAAAUAAUUGAGACCAUAAAAAAUAAACCAUAACAACUAAAAUUAAAAAUUUAAUAUUCUAAAAAAAACCAUAUAUUUUAAUUUCAAUUUUAAAUUUAAAUUGUUCAAAGAUUAAGCUAUUUUUCUCGGCUUUGUAGGCACAUUUCAAAAUUUUUUUACCACAAUUUAUCUCUCUCAAAAAUAGUAAACCUAACAACAUCCUUUUACCAAAUUUACACAUUUACACGUAUUGUCCAAAACUCUCGGCAACUAAUAAUCCAACUGCUAUAAAUUGUGCCAAUUUUAUUGGAAAAAACAUGCCAACACAAAUUACCAUUAUUAGUCGCCUAGCUAGCAAACUUUUUAUUUAAAGAAACAUGAAGAGGUUUUCCCUUAUUGUUUUGUGCGUGGUGACUCUAGUGGUGGUGUUGUUUUCGGAUGCAGAGGCAGCGCCAGCGCCGAAAUGUGAUAACCCCUUGGAGUAUAGCUCAUGCUUGAACGCGUAUAAGAAGCCACCUCCAUCAGCCGGUUGUUGCCAGAAGAUGAAGGAACAAGCACCAUGCUAUUGCAAGUACAUGAAGAUAGAAGAUGUCAAACGUGUUUUUGACAGAGUUGAGAUUGCGAAAAUGGCUAAAUUGUGUGGAGUUUCAUAUUCUUCCACCUGCUAGAAUCCCGUUUGGUUUCAUUUGACUAUCUCUGGAUGAGAUAACCUGACAUCUCAAUAAAUGAAAAUUUUAUUUGAAAACUAUUUUUUUACCCAUAAUUUCGACUAUAAUGUACUUGUGUUCUUUUUUUUUUGGAAUAAUACUGG
RNAcentral lists this long non-coding RNA (39614 nucleotides) under Gossypium barbadense (sea-island cotton). RNAcentral describes it as "long non-coding RNA (GBAR_LNC008558)". Lineage: Eukaryota; Viridiplantae; Streptophyta; Magnoliopsida; Malvales; Malvaceae. The record is from RNAcentral.